AUGAAGGCUGCCAAGGAGUUCACCCAGGCCAAACCCUCUGGAUCAUCUCUGACCUCUCCAUGCACCAUGUCUUCAGGGCCUGCCGCUUCCUCCUUCUCAGGUUAUUUCUCCUGUCUUCAGCUCGCCACAUCACCAAAAUGCCACCUUUUCUCAGCUCAGGCCCUGUUUCCCACUUCCCCAAAGGCCACGUGCUGCUGCCUUGGCAAAGGGAAGCUUGCAGAACAAACACAGUGUGUGAGCUCAUAUCCACGCAGCUGGCUGGGGGGACUAUCUGGCCUCUAUCUCCUCCCUUACCUCCCGGUGUUUGAUAUGCUCACCUGCUGCAUCUCAUCUCUCAGCCCUCGGUGGGAGGAACGGGAAUGUCAAUUACAGCAGCGGUGUUUGGCUUUCGGCAAAGGACGGUGUCUGACUGCUGUGCCAGCAAGGACUACAGGGACCAUCCUGUCACUACCUACCCAUCAGCCUACUUAAAACGAGCCUUACCAAAGCCCUUUAAUCCUACAUUUGCUUUCAUUUCCGACCUCUUUGCCAGCCAGGAGCACAUCCUGCGCAGGAGUCCUAGCGUUUCUCAGCGCUGCCGUGCCCAGCUUACAGAAGAGGAAACUGAGGCACGGUGCCCAGGAGCAUCCUGUCCCCACGCGAAACAUCUGGUCUGCAGCACAGCCAAGCCCGGCCUCCCAGCGCCGGGCUCCUGCAGUAUUCUUGCUGCCUUUCCACCUCGGCUAUAAGGAGGAAAGCAUCUGUGAUUUUCAGCUCAGCCAGUGCAAGUGCAGAAAUAGAUAGAAAUGCAGUUUGAUCUAGUCCUCGCCACUGUCCCGGAGUUUAUUUCGCUGAUUCUUUCUCAGCGGUUUGCAGCUCAGGGCCAAUUUUGGUCAUUGAUAGAUCGGAGGGCCAGGCCAGCUUCCCCAGCACACAGUCCCUGCGCUGCUGGCCAAACUGGCAGAGGCCAGAAAGUUCAAGUCAAACUUCAUUUCUUUCCUUGCCCCGUUGCUUAGUAACACGCCUAUGAAAAUAUACUUUGUUCUCACACACUACCAGUUGAAUGCCAAGAGCGUUUUUUCCCUCUCCCAUCCUCAGGAAUUCCUGAUUUAUUUUUUAUUUCUUUUUCUUUCUCUCUCCCUCUUUUUAUUUUUUUUUUUCAAUCGUGCAAAGCUCGGGAGAAGCCUGCUGGUCUGCUGCGGCUUCCUGCAGAAGCCUUCCCCAGCAGGGCUCAUCUCCCACCUGCAAACCAAACCCACUGAAAGGAGCCCCCUGCGGCGCUCAGGGAGUCCAAAUGGCAGCUGCAGGUGGUGCCGGGGGUUGCUUUCGCAACAAACCUGCAGCCUCUUCCCUAUUCCUCUCCUUGUUCGCUCCAAGGGUGCUCCCCAUCCCAAGCUAACCCAAAGCAGCGACGUUACGAGGGGACCAGCCAGAGUUUGCACGCAGAGCACCUGCUAAAGGACCAGGCUCCUUGGGCAGAGCGAGGCAGGCGGAAGGAAAGGGGACUCAACUGCCAGCCAAGACACAAAGCUUUUUGGGGUGCCCUCGGUUCACACCAGGCACCCUGCCUAGGGGUGCAAGGCUCAGCCCCACUCUCGUGGCUGCUGCUGCCUUUUGCCUGCAUGGUUUCCCCUCCUGGCUGCACCGCCUGCCUCCCGAACGCACACGCACACGCGCAGGGUAAAUAAACACGGCGGAUGACGCGCUCGGGGAUAUUUC
Molecule: long non-coding RNA, 1698 nt
Filed under: Anas platyrhynchos platyrhynchos (common mallard)
Lineage: Eukaryota; Metazoa; Chordata; Aves; Anseriformes; Anatidae
Description: lncRNA (ENSAPLG00000027800.1)
Source: RNAcentral